This 301-nucleotide ribosomal RNA is filed under the name uncultured bacterium. RNAcentral's name for it is "partial 16S ribosomal RNA". It matches the Rfam family "Bacterial small subunit ribosomal RNA", at positions 509 to 807 of the family's 1533-position model. The record is from RNAcentral.
CAGUAGCCACGGUAAUACGUAGGUGGCAAGCGUUGUCCGGAAUUAUUGGGCGUAAAGCGCGCGCAGGUGGUUUAAUAAGUCUGAUGUGAAAGCCCACGGCUCAACCGUGGAGGGUCAUUGGAAACUGUUAAACUUGAGUGCAGGAGAGAAAAGUGGAAUUCCUAGUGUAGCGGUGAAAUGCGUAGAGAUUAGGAGGAACACCAGUGGCGAAGGCGGCUUUUUGGCCUGCAACUGACACUGAGGCGCGAAAGCGUGGGGAGCAAACAGGAUUAGAUACCCCAGUAGUCCCUGUCUCUUAUAC